Molecule: ribosomal RNA, 517 nt
Filed under: uncultured archaeon
Lineage: Archaea
Description: bacterial SSU rRNA
Rfam family: Archaeal small subunit ribosomal RNA
Source: RNAcentral
GUAACACGUAGUCAACCUGCCCUGGAGACAUGGAAAACCCCGGGAAACUGGGAUUAAUCCGUGAUAGGUUACCUCAUCUGGAAGGAGAGAUGGCUUAAAGGGGUGCGAGAGCUUCUUUCUUGCAUUCGCUCCAGGAUGGGACUGCGGCCGAUCAGGCUGUUGGCGGUGUAAUGGACCACCAAACCUGUAACCGGUACGGGCCUUGAGAGAGGGGGCCCGGAGAUGGACACUGAGAGAAGGGUCCAGGUCCUACGGGGCGCAGCAGGCGCGAAACCUUCGCAAUGCGCGAAAGCGUGACGAGGUUAAUCCGAGUGGUCCCCGCUGAGGGGAUCUUUUGUUGGCUGUAAAAAGGCCGAUGAAUAAGGGGAGGGCAAGUCUGGUGUCAGCCGCCGCGGUAAUACCAGCUCCUCGAGUGGUCGGGGCGAUUAUUGGGCCUAAAGCAUCCGUAGCCGGUUCUGUAGGUCCUCUGUCAAAUCCAACGGCUUAACCGUUGGCCCGCAGAGGAUACCGCAGGACU